This 8956-nucleotide long non-coding RNA is filed under the name Salmo salar (Atlantic salmon). RNAcentral's name for it is "lncRNA (ENSSSAG00000091838.1)". The record is from RNAcentral. Lineage: Eukaryota; Metazoa; Chordata; Actinopteri; Salmoniformes; Salmonidae.
CAUGAGCCGAAUACAACAAGUGUAGACCUUACCGUGAAAUGCUUACUUACAAGCCCUUAACCAACAGUGCAGUUCAAGAAAGACUUAAGAAAAUAUUUACCAAAUAAACUAAAGUAAAAAAUAAUAAAAAGUAACACAAUAAAAUAACUAUAACGAGGUUAUAUACAGGGGUUCCGGUACCGAGUCAGUGUGUGGGGAUACAGGUUAGUCGAGGUAAUUUGUAAAUGCAGGUAGGGAUGAAGUGACUAUGCAUAGGUAAUAAACAGUGAGUAGCAGCAGUGUAAAAAAACAAAUGGAGGGGGAUGUCAAUGUAAAUAAUCCGGUGGCCAUUUGAUUAACUGUUCAGCAGUCUUAUGGCUUGGGGGUAGAAACUGUUAAGGAGCCUUUUGGUCUGAGACUUGGCGCUCUGAUACCGUUCGCCGUGUGGUAGCAGAGAAAACAGUCUAUGACUUGGGUGACUGGAGUCUUUGACAGUUUUAUGGGCUUUCCUCUGACACUGCCUAUUAUAUAGGUCCUGGAUUGCAGGAAGCUUGGCCCCAGUGAUGUACUGGGCCGUACGCAUUACCCUCUGUAGCGCCUUACGGUCACAUGCCAUAACAGGCGGUGAUGUAACCGGUCAGGAUGCUCUCGAUGGAACAGUUGUAGAACUUUUUGAAGAUCUGGGAUGCAUGCCAAAUCUUUUCAGUCUCCUGAGGGGGAAAAAGUUUUGUUGUGUUCUCUUCACGACUGUCUUGGUGUGUUUGGACCAUGAUAGUUUAUUGGUGAUGUGGACACCAAGGAACUUGAAACUCUCGACCUGCUCCACUACAGCCCUGUCGAUGUUAAUGGGGGCCUGUUCGGCCCGCCUUUUCCUGUAGUCCACGAUCAGCUCCUUUGACUGGCUCACAUUGAGGGAGAGGUUGUGGUCUUGGCACCACACUGCCAGUUCUCUGACCUCCUUCCUAUAGGCUGUCUCAUCGUUCUCGGUGAUCAGGCCUACCACUGUUGUGUCGUCAGCAAACUUAAUGAUGGUGUUGGAGUCGUGUUUGGCCACGCAGUCAUGGGUGAACAGGGAGUACACGAGGGGACUAAGCAGGCACCCAUGAGGGGCCCGCGUGUUGAGGUUCAGCGUGGCAGAUGUGUUGUUCCCUACCCUUACCACCUGGGGGCGGCCCGUCAGGAAGUCCAGGAUCCUGUUGCAGAGAUGAAUGUGGUACCUUCAGGCGUUUGGAAAUUGCUCCCAAGGAUGAACCAGACUUGUGGAGGUCUACAAUUUUUUUCUGAGGUCUUGGCUGAUUUUUAAUUUUUUCCCCCAUGAUGUCAAGCAAAAAUGAACUGAGUUUGAAGGUAGGCCUUGAAAUACAUCCACAGGUACACCUCCAAUUGACUCAAAUGAUGUCAAUUAGCCUAUCAGAAGCUUCUAAAGCCAUGACAUCAUUUUCUGGAAUUGUCCAAGCUGUUUAAAGGCACAGUCAACUUAGUGUAUGUAAACUUCUGACCCACUGGAAUUGUGAUACAGUGAGUUAUAAGAUAAAUAAUCUGUCUGUAAACAAUUGUUGAAAAAAUUACUUGUGUCAUGUACACAGUAGAUGUCUUAACUGACUUGCCAAAAAUAGAGUUUGUUAACAAGAAAUGUGUGGAGUGGUUGAAAAAUGUGUUUUAAUGACUCAGACCUAAGUGUAUGUAAUCUUCCGACUUCAACUGUAUAUAUGUACUAGCCUACCUCUUUCAUGUAAUAAUUCCAGGAAUAAAUUCAAUGCAGUUAUUAGCCUUAUAUUUACACUACCAAAAGUUUACACAAGACCAAAAGUUUGUGGACAACUGCUUGUCGAACAUCUCAUUCCAAAAUAAUGGGUGAUUCAUAUGGAGUUGGUCCCCCCUUUGCUGCUAUAACAGCCUCCACUCUUCUGGGAAGGCUUUCCACUAGAUGUUGGAACAUUGCUGCGGGGACUUGCUUCCAUUCAGCCACAAGAGCAUUAGUGAGGCCAGGCACUGAUGUUGAGCGAUCAGGCCUGGGUCGCAGUCGGUAUUCCAAUUCAUCCCAAAGGUGUUCGAUGGGGUUGAGGUCAGGGCUCUGUGCAGGCCAGUCAAGUUCUUCCAAACCAUUUCUGUAUGGACCUCGCUUUGUGCACGGGGUAAUUGUCAUGCUAAAGCAGAAAGGGCCUUCCCCAAAUGGUUACCACAAAGUUGGAAGCACAGAAUUAUCUAGAAUGUCAUUGUAUGCUGUAGCAUUAAGAUUUUCCUUCACUGGAACUAAGUGGCCUAGCACGAACCAUGAAAAACAGUCCCGGACCAUUAUUCCUCCUCCACCAAACUUUAUAGUUGGCAAUAUGCAUUGGGACAGGUAGAAUUCUCCUGGCAUCCGCCAAACCCAGAUUGGUCUGUCAGACUGCCAGAUGGUGAAGUGUGAUUCAUCACUCCAGAGAACGCGUUUCCACUGCUCCAGAGUCCAAUGGUUGGCGAGCUUUACACCACUCCAGCCGAUGGAAACCCAUUUCAUGAAGCUCCCGACAAACAGUUAUUGUGCUGACUUUGCUUAAAAAACGCUCCUUAGCUGUCUCAGAAAAAACUAGACUAGAAUAGCUUGCUGGAAAAAAUGUUUUUGCAUUUCUUAUACUAAUUGACUAUUGGAAGAGGGAUGCUAACUCUUGUUUGCUGAAUGUUAAAUAAAGAAGCCAAUAGAACUCACAGCCACGGGCCGGGGAGUUUGAAAGAAGAGAGAACGUGGGAUGGCGAUGCACGACUACCUGACUCAGGCAGCACAGUUCAUGGUUCUCUCUUCACUGGUAAGAAUCACUCUCUAUUAUCUUUCUCUUGUAUUAUUAUUAUGACUCAGAUUAUGUUGUUUAUAUACAGCUAAACUACAUAUACUGUAGGUUGCGAGAUGAUCCCACAGAAAACUAUAUUCUAAAGAUUAUGAUAAUAUAUGCAGUACUAUAUUUUUUACAAUUUUCUACAUUGUAGAAUAAUAGUGAAGACAUCAAAACUAUGAAAUAACACAUAUGGAAUCAUGUAGCAACCAAAAAAAAUGUUAAACAAAUCUAAAUAUAUUUUAUUUUUGAGAUUCUUCAAAGUAGGGACCUUUUGCCUUGGGCUCCCGAGCGGUCUAAGGCACUGCAUCUCAGUUCUAGAGGCAUCAUUACAGACCGUGGUUCGAUUCCAGGCUUUAUCACAACCUGCUGUGAUUGGGAGUCCCAUAGAGCGGCGCGCAAUUGGCCCAGUGCUGUCUGUGUUAGGGUUUGUCCGGGGUAGGCCGUCAUUGUAAAUACGAAUUUGUUCUUAACUGACUUGCCUAGUUAAAUAAAAAAAAUUAAAAAUGACAGCUUUGCACGCUCUUGGCAUUCUCUCAACCAGCUUAAUGAGGUAGUCACCUGGAAUACAUUUCAAUUAACAGGUGUGCCUUGUUAAAAGUUCAUUUGUGGAAUUUCUUUCCUUCUUAAUGCGUUUGAGCCAAUCAGUUGCGUUGUGACAAGGUAGGAGUGGUAUACAGAAAAUAGCUCUAUUUGGUAAAAGACCAAGUCCAUAUUAUAGCAAGAACAGCUCAAAUAAGCAAAGAGAAACGAUAGUCCAUAAUUACUUUAAGACGUGAAGAUUAGUUAAUUUCGGAAAAUUUCAGGAACUUUGAAAGUUUCAUCAAGUUCAGUCGCAAAACCAUCAAGAGCUAUGAAGAAACUGGUUCUCAUGAGGACCGCCACAGGAGGAGAAGACCCAAACUCUGCUGCAGAGGAUAAGUUCAUUAGAGUUAACUGCCUCAGAAAUUGCAGCCCAAAUAAAUGCUUCACAGAGUUCAAGUAACAGACACAUCUCAGCAUCAAAAGGAGACGGCAUGAAUCAAGUCUUCAUUGUCAAAUUACUGCAAAAAAAAACUACUAAAGGACACUAAUAAUAAGAAGAGACUUACUUAGGCCAAGAAACACAAGCAAUGGACAAUAGACCGGUGUAAAUUUGUCCUUUGGUCUGAUGAGUCCAAAUUUUAGAUUUUUUGUUCCAACCGCCGUGUCUUUGUGAUCUCUGCAUGUGUGGUUCCACCGUGAAGCAUGGAGGAGGAGGUGUGAUUGUGAGGGGGUGCUUUGCUGUUGACACUGUCUGUGAUUUAUUUAGAAUUCAAAGCACACUUAACCAGUAUGGCUACCACAGCAUUCUGCAGCGAUACGCCAUCCCAUUUGGUUUGUGCUUAGUGGGACUAUAAUUUAUUUUUCAACAGGACAAUGACCCAACACACCUCCAGGUUGUGUAAGGGCUAUUUGACCAAGAAGGAGAGUGAUGGAGUGCUGCAUCAGAUGACCUGGCCUCCACAAUCACCUGACCUCAACCCUAUUGAGAUGGUUUGGGAUGAGUUGGACUGCAAAGUGAAGGAAAAGCAGCUCAGCAUAUGUGGGAACUCCUUCAAGACAGGUGAAGCUGAAAGAAUGCGAUGAGAUAAUGCCAAGCUUGUGCAACGCUAUCAUCAAGGCAAAGGGUCGCUACUUUGAAGAAUCGAAAAUCGAAAAUAUAUUUUGUUUUCUUUAACACUUUUUUGGUUACUACAUAAUUCACUAUUAUUUUCCAAUGUAAAAAAUAGUACAAAUAAAGAAAAACCCUUGAAUGAGUAGGUGUGUCCAAACUUUUGAUUGGUACUGUAGCUAAAACAAAAUAAUUGGAAAAUGAACAAAAAUAUAACUGCAACAUGCAACAAUUUCAAAUAUUUGACUGAGUUACAAUUCAUAUAAGGAAGUCAGUCAAUUUAAAUUAAUUAAUUAGUCCCUAAUCUAUGGAUUUCACAUGACUGGGAAUACAGAUAUGCAUCUGUUUGUCACAGAUACCUUAAAAAAGUAGGGACGUGGAUCAGAAAACCAGUCAGUAUAUGCAUGAGACCACCAUUUGCCUCAUGCAGCGCGACACAUCUCCUUUGCAUAGAGUUAAUCAGGCUGUUGGUUGUGGCCUGUGGAAUGUUGUCCCACUCCUCUUCAAUGGCUGUGUGAAGUUGCUGGAUACUGGCAGGAACUGGAGCAUGCUGUCACCUGGGCUGGCGUGGUUACAUGUGGUCUGUGAGGCUGUUGGACAUACUGCCAAAUGAUCUAAAACGAUGUUGGAGGCCGCUUAUGGUAGAGAAAUUAACAUUAAAUUCUCUGGCAACAGCUCUGGUGGACAUUCCUGCAGUCAGCAUGCCAAUUGCACGCUCCCUCAACUUGAGACAUCUGUGGCAUUGUGCUGUGUGACAAAACUGCAGAUUUUAGAGUGGCCUUUUAUUGUCCCCAGCACAAGGUGCACCUGUGUAAUGAUCAUGAUGUUUAAUCAGCUUCUUGAUAUGCCACACCUGUCAGGUGGAUGGAUUAUCUUGGCAAAGGAGAAGUGCUCACUAACAGGGAUUAAAAUAAAUUUGUGCACAAAAUUUGAGAGAAAUAAGCUUGUAUGAAACAUUUAUGGAUUGUUUAAUUUCAGCUGAUGAAACACACUUUGCAUGUUGCAUUGCGUUUAUAUUUUUGUUCAGUGUAUUUAUCACUCUGUUUCUCCUUUGACUCACAGGUCUUUUGAUGGGAGGCGGAGCCCUGCUAUUGGUCACUCUGCUGCAGCCAUGAAAGAAUGGUCUAAUCAAAUCAAAUUGUAUUUGUCACAUGCACCGAGUACAACAGGUGUAGGCCUUACAGUGAAGUGCUUGCUUACAAGCCCUUAACCAACAAUGCAGUUUUAAGAAAAAUAAGUGUUGAGAAAAAAAUCGAUAAGUAAAAAAUAAGAAAUAAAAGUAACAAAUAAUUAAAGAGCAGCAGUAAAAUAACAAGAGAGAACAGUCUAUGACUGUCUUUGACAAUUUUAGGGCCUUCCUCUGACACCGCCUGGUAUAGAGGUCCUGGAUGGCAGGAAGCUUGGCCCCAGUGAUGUACUGGGCCGUACGCACGACACUCUGUAGUGCCUUGCGGUUGGAGGCCGAGCAGUUGCCAUACCAGGCAGUGAUGCAAUCAGUUAGGAUGCUCCCGAUGGUGCAGCUGUAUAACUUUUUGAGGAUCUGAGGACCCAUGCCAAAUCUUUCAGUCUCCUGAGGGGGAAUAGGUUUUGUCGUUGUUAUAAGAAUUUUAUAUCUUGAUGAUAAUAAUCAAUAAUCAAUUCGCCUUGACUAAUGCCCAAGGUUUGUAAGACAAUGGGUUAAAAUAAUUAGGCAAGGACUCAGCUUUCUGCAAAAGGUUUCUGUAGCUUUAUUCAUGAGAACGUUCUGGUGUCAGGAUAACAAAACAGUCAUUAUAUAGUUCUUGCUUACUUACGCACAUGCAUUUACACACAAUCCGUUGGUGACCUGCAACCCCCAUAAAAUUCUCACACUGUUUAUCACCUUCUGGCUCAGCCUUCAAGGUUAGGAACUCUCUGAGGUUUUACUCCCUUCACCAUCUGCUUCUCUAUCUCUCUAUACUAAUUGCAUACACACACUGAAUGUAUCAGAAAGGUUACCAAAACUAUGAUGCAGCUCAGAGUCUCUACUCUUCCCAAAAACCGCCAACCCUCUCCUGCCCUUAGUCUCUCUGCUAGGUACCACCCCAUACUCACACCUCUAGGAGCACACACAGUGAUGAACGGUCGGGAUAGGAAAUCUUCGUUAAGGAGGUAACCCCCGGACCCUGUUGGUAUCGGUUCUUCUCCUAACUCUGUGUGUGAUCAGCAGUGCUCAUAUGUGUACAUACCUUCUUGCAGUGGAUAACGUGGACCCAAGUGACUCUCUCAGCUUUUCUAAUGGCAAAGGCAGUGGUUUAACAGAACCUGGUAUGGGCCUUCCCAAUGGGGCUGCUUCCAGUCUUUCCUCCUCAGGGACUGGAUCCACACCCAGUCUCCUGGUUGGAUUGAGUGAAUCACCUUCUCCUGUAAUUCACCUGUUGGACACAAAAUCUUGGACAUACGGGGUUGGUUAACAAACAGUCUUCUCAUGUGCUCUGUUAGUAUUUCUUCAACUUCUAUGUCUACCUGUUCUGGUAUCUCUAACUCUGGUAUUCUAUAGGCUCUACUUGAUUAGCUAAAAUGUCAUCCAUCAUUUAAAGAGAUGGCUCCUAGUAAACCAACUCCAGGGAUAAUAUCUUGACUUAAUAUUUUAGCUACCAUAAUCAUGUCCACCAAGUAAGUUGGGAACGCUUCUACCCAUUUGCUAUACUUAUCUAUUCUUGUUAAACACCCCUUCUUCCCCUCAUUUCGGAAUAUCUCAAUAAGGUCAAUUUCCAACUGUUGGAAUGGAUAUCUUACAAAAAAAUGUGUUUAAGUAAUUAUCCUCUAGGCCAUCACUCUUUCCUAACUACUCUACUAUACUUCCCUCCCCUUGAUACAUUGCUUAGCCUAUGUAUCAAUAUUGCUGCGUAUCCAUACAAUGUCUUUGGUAGGAUAAGUAAAUUAUCCUUAUGUCAGACCUUCUCUUGUAGGAUGCCCCCUUUCAUUUUCCACAUGUCCAAUUCUCCCUGGGGCCUUCAUCCUCGGCUAUUCUGUAACAAUUCUCUGUCAAGUGUUUUAUCUUCUUUAAGAUUUAUCUGUGCUGUUUUGUAUGGUUUUAAAUGUCUAUGUGCUUGUCUGUGUAGAUAGUAACUUUUCUCUCCUUUCUUAUUUCACCGGUUCUAGUCAAUGCUACUAUUUCGGCCUACUGUGCAGAAUAGUGUCUGGGCAAUGGUUCAGUGUCUAACACCUGAAACCAACUAAGCUUUCAUUGCCCUUUUAGUUAGGGUAACAAUUACUUUGAACAAAAUGAUCAUAUCUCCUCCUAGCGAAUUUACCAAACAUAAACUUAAAAUCAAAACUAAAAUAUAUACCUAUGGAGCCGAUAGUCUCUCCAUGAAUUAAUAUCCUAAAGCUAAGUGAACCAAAUUCUCUUCCUAUCUACUCCUGCUGGCCCCCCUUCUUUCUUCCUGCUACUCCCCAACCCUCAAGGUUUCAGCAGUGCAGGGGAGGAUCUCUCUGUCUGCCCUUCUAUCUGUCUCCAGCUUUUUGUGAUAACAUGGUUGUUUCCAAAUAUUGACUAAACGUCUCAUUGUCUCCUUGGUUGCACUCCUGAGUUUUAGAAAAAUCAACCUGUCUAGAUAUUGCAUAUCUACUUAAAUGUAUCUCGAUACCCUCAAUGAUCCUGGAUCACCUACAGAUGUCAUAUAUCCCUGUCCUGUUGACAUAAAUCUAUCAUUAUUAAACUUAUUCACAACAAAAUAUAGUAAUAUUAUAUCCAUUCCACAGCCUUGUUGUGUUAAAUCUCUUACACUGCUUUCAACAACAGCUGACUUCCUAAGGGAAAAUAAACUUAUCUAGAUCAUGUAAAAAAUACCCCUGCUACUGGUCAAAAUAUUCUCAAAUCACAUAAUCAGAUCUAAAUGACUAAUCUGAUUUACUCCACCAAGAAAAAUUAUUUUACCCUUAUUGUUCUAGGAAAAUAGACUUGAAGAAGCCUACCCUUAGUCUAAGGCUUUGCCCUUUUAGUCUUCUCAUUGGUUCUAAUUAUCAAUUGUGUCUAAGAACUUUAACUCCUUCAUAAUUAUCAGUUCUACAAAUUCCCUUAAAAUCAAUAUCACCAAUGACCUUAAAUUCACCAUCCAAAUGGCUUUUCAAUGUGGCUGAUCAGACCACACAGGAAAAGUCACCAGAUGGGUCAAAAGUCAUACCACCCUUUCAGAACCGUGUUUCUUACUACUGUUACGGAUACAAGUGUGUAUCCUGUAUGUGUGUUUCUUUUCUCUCCUUCUCCUCCUCACAGGUGACAAUCAUCACUCCCCAAUCAGUCAUCAAUCAGUCCCCAAACAGAAGUCACCUGCUCCUCUUCCCUCACCCAAUCACAGUCCCUUUCCCUUGGUUUAAAACCCCAGUCAGUUGCAAUCUCUCACUAGCUCAUUAUCACUCUGAGCUCAUUCUCACUCUGAUCAAUCUUUGUGUUCAUUCUCUCUCUCUCUCUCUCUCUCUCUCUCUCUCUCUCUCUCUCUCUCUCUCUCUCUCUCUCUCUCUCUCUCUCUCUCUCUCACCCCCUCUCUGGCAUCUCUUACUUCCCUCAGAU